GAGUUUGAUCAUGGCUCAGAUUCCAACGCUGGCGGCAGGCCUAACACAUGCAAGUCGAGCGGUUGAAGGUAGCUUGCUACCUGAUGCAGCGGCGAACGGGUGAGUAAUGCAUGGGAAUCUGCCUGGUAGUGGGGGACAACGUCUCGAAAGGGACGCUAAUACCGCAUACGCCCUACGGGGGAAAGGGGGGGAUCUUCGGACCUCUCGCUAUCAGAUGAGCCCAUGUCGGAUUAGCUAGUUGGUGGGGUAAAGGCCUACCAAGGCGACGAUCCGUAACUGGUCUGAGAGGAUGAUCAGUCACACUGGAACUGAGACACGGUCCAGACUCCUACGGGAGGCAGCAGUGGGGAAUAUUGGACAAUGGGCGCAAGCCUGAUCCAGCCAUGCCGCGUGUGUGAAGAAGGCCUUCGGGUUGUAAAGCACUUUCAGUGGGGAGAAAAGUGAUUCACCUAAUACGUGAGUCAAUUGAUGUUACCCACAGAAGAAGCACCGGCUAACUCCGUGCCAGCAGCCGCGGUAAUACGGAGGGUGCAAGCGUUAAUCGGAAUUACUGGGCGUAAAGCGCACGUAGUGGUUUGUUAAGCUAGCUGUGAAAUCCCCGGGCUCAACCUGGGCACUGCAGUUUAGAACUGGCA
Molecule: ribosomal RNA, 635 nt
Filed under: uncultured Pseudomonadota bacterium
Lineage: Bacteria; Pseudomonadati; Pseudomonadota
Description: bacterial SSU rRNA
Rfam family: Bacterial small subunit ribosomal RNA
Source: RNAcentral